UGGGGAAUUGUUCGCAAUGGGCGCAAGCCUGACGACGCAACGCCGCGUGGAGGAUGAAGACCUUCGGGUCGUAAACUCCUUUCGACCGAGAUGAAUACCCAUCGACCUAACACGUCGAUGGGCCGACAGUAUCGAGGGAAGAAGCCCCGGCUAACUCCGUGCCAGCAGCCGCGGUAAUACGGGGGGGGCAAGCGUUGUUCGGAAUUACUGGGCGUAAAGGGUUCGUAGGUGGCUUGCUAAGUCAGACGUGAAAUCCCUCAGCUCAACUGGGGAACUGCGUCUGAGACUGGCGAGCUUGAGUGCAGGAGAGGAAUGCGGAAUUCCAGGUGUAGCGGUGAAAUGCGUAGAUAUCUGGAGGAACACCGGUGGCGAAGGCGGCGUUCUGGACUGCAACUGACACUGAGGAACGAAAGCCAGGGGAGCAAACGGGAUUAGAUACCCCCGUAGUCC
This 450-nucleotide ribosomal RNA is filed under the name uncultured bacterium. RNAcentral's name for it is "bacterial SSU rRNA". It matches the Rfam family "Bacterial small subunit ribosomal RNA", at positions 355 to 796 of the family's 1533-position model. The record is from RNAcentral.